Molecule: RNA transcript, 629 nt
Organism: Carya illinoinensis
Lineage: Eukaryota; Viridiplantae; Streptophyta; Magnoliopsida; Fagales; Juglandaceae
Exons: 4
Source: RefSeq, a predicted model, not a curated record
GAGGCGUUAAAUGUCCGCUAAAAUAAUUCUUCUAAGGAAAACGGCGACGUUCUCACUCUAUCCAACGCCACCAAUUACUCAAGUCGUUGGAAGGAACACUCUCAGUAGAUUGCUGCUUCGAAGAGGAGGAGGUCAUGUCGGAUGUCAGAGCUAUGAACUGGAUUCAGCGCAAGAUCUAUCUUUAUAAUGUCACUUUUGGGCUUUACAUGUUGGAUUGGUGGGAGCGUUAUUUUUUCAAUGCUCUGGUGAUUGUGUUGAUGUGGUUCUUUCUUUACAAUGGAUCACGAUAUGUCACCGAGAUAUGCAAGAGGCAUUUAUGGUGAGGAACAGAACCAGUAUCAAGUCAUCAACUGGAAGGAUGACAAAUGCAGAUGAGUGGCAGCAGAUAUAACUUAAUAGAGAUGCAUAUAUCUUAAUUUCACUCUUAUAUGGCAUGACAACUGCUGUAUAUCUUAAUUUCACUCUGAUUGUAUGGGGACUUGGGGAGUACCUUAAGUUUGUACCGAUAGAGAUGCAUUUCCUGCUUGCAUUCUACUCGCUUUACAGCCUUCUGACCAUUUUCUAUCCAGCAAUUUCGCUGUGAACAGAUAAGAAUGCAUGUUCAAAAUGAUAUUCACAGUUAUAGAUUA